CCCGGUUGUAGAUUUCACUGCUCAAUGAAGCCAAACGAAUCACAUUUAAUCACAUUUUCUCGAAUGAAGAUUUUUGGAGCCGUUAUUUGUUUAGCCAGUGGCCUCUUCUCAGACUUGGCCCCUGUUCCAACGGGCUGACUGAUCCUGUGUUUUUGACCUAACCGGCCUCUGGUGAUUUUUGUUUUCUUCUGUUUGCUUGGUUUGGUGUAAUAAUCUACUCGGAAUAUACACGUGGUACUAAACCACCUGAAAUAUGUGUAGCUGAAAGAUGAGUACGUACUCAUGUAGCUUUUGUUUUCCUAUAAGUAUAUAUUCAACAACAUGCUCGGGACUUAAUCCACACAAGCAGUUUGGGUGAAGAAAAGGUGAAAGUUAAUUAGAAUCAAAAUGGGUUUCCUAAUUUCUGCUAAUGGUAUCAAAUAACAAUGAUGCUAUGAAAGCCUGUCAUGUGACUUUAGUCACAGAGCCAAACCGCUCUAGUUCCACUUCACUUGAGAGGGAAUCUUCUGUUUGUCAGCAGUGCACAUUGUUAAUGGUGACUUGAUCGAGCUGUAGUGGCACCCGAGUCCAACCCGCUUAAAUUUAGUCUCAGGUGGAGCACUUUGGUGGGUGUGGGAUUGACUCGGGAUUCAUGAAUGUGACUGAUCGGCGACCGGAGGUCCUCGUGAUUUCAUUGAUGUCCGUUAGACGUCAACUUUUCAUAACCCAAGAAGAGCCCUCUUUCCAGCUUGUGACAACACACGAUCAUCCAAAUAGUGUCCGUAGCUCAAGGAGAGGAGGAUGUUCUCAAGCCAGCUCAUCUAAGGUUGUUUUACAAGUUAAAAUAAGACCACAUAUUAUACUUUACACGCUACUAGCUCAAUAUUCCUGUCCAUCACAUGACGCGUUUCCAAGCUCGUAGGAACAAAUGUAAUCACCCGAUCUUUGUGAGAUGAUAAAACCAGUGCAGGUAGACUGAACUGAAUUGUAAACUGCACGAGGUAACUGCAGGGUAAUCUGUUUUCCAGGUAGAGAUGUUGUAUAAAUGUACUGUAUCUUUCCACCUACAAGGAGAGCCAGGCAAUAAAAUAGCCUUGGCUGAUUGUGUCUUAGACAAAACAUUUAUAGCUCUGAAGUUCAAAGAGUAUUUUUCUGCUGACACAGCAUGAAUAUAAAGAUACAUUUUCAGAUUUAAAAUUCUAGCCAGAGAAACACAACAUUUUUAGAUUUACAAGUGGGAAGGCAUAAUUGCCAUGACCAAACACAGGCAUCCGCAUGCAUACGUGGUUCAUGAGUAGAAGCAGAGGGCAAGGCUUGAGUAAAGCGGGCCGGCUCAAUAAAGGUUUGUCAGUGGGGAAUCUGUUUGGAAUUUAUGGGCCUUCCUGUUAUAACAACAAUAAUGGACCUGCCCUGUUUUACCAAUUUGCGUGGAUACAAAUACGUGUUUCCGCACACACGCCUUUUGACUUCCAUGACGAAACCCUGAGCCCUGAGCUGGAAACUGUUUCCACUAAAGAAAAUGGUGGACCAACCAACCAACGGACUGACCAAAAAGUGUGUAAUUGAUGUCAAGAUGUGGGAUGUUUGUCUCCUCUUCAGGUCCGUGGUUUGUUUUUUCUGACUCUGUUUCGCCACAGAGCUCUAAUAUUGGCAAUGGACAACAUUCCCGUUCUGAAGAUCUUCCUGGGCAUCCCUGGGUUUCGGCCUCUCCAUCAUGUUCUGCACGACCUUCUGCAGGGUGUGCAGUCGCUUCAGAGAGGAGCAGAUCAACAGGGAGGCGUUGAGACGCAGUGAGCAGGAAACUCGCCCUCCUCCCAUUUAUUUCAUCCCCUUCCAUGGAAGCAUGUCACGGCAGGACAGCGAAGACCAGGACAGAGGGCCUCGCAUCAGCCUGGAGCUCCACACACCACCUCGAUACAGCAACGUCGUCUUCUGUGGGCCUCCACCUUCCUACAAUGAGCUGGGAUUGAAGCCUGACGAUCUCCCGCCCGCUUACACCGAGUACAACGUCCCCGUGUAUCAAAUCGCACCCCCGCCCCCCACGGACAGGAGUCAGCCACAAACACAGUGACAGGAAUGAUUCAGGACCGUCACACUGGGCCUGGGACAGCGGUCACGCACAGCCUUGAACGGCCUCGUGGACUCCAGUGAGCUGACGCUGGCAAUGUCUCAAAGGUUGUUUUGGUAAUGAACGUGAUGAUGGCGCUGCAGAAAUGGCAGCAGGUUCACCGCUACGAUGCCACGAGGACAGCACACUCUCAGAGACACUACUCCCGGGCAUGUUGAUUGUUGACACGGGAUCGGAAUGCAUUCUUCCCUCCUGUUAUUAUCAUCUCCAACCAGGAGCAUCUGCUUUCGGUUUGUUUGCAUGUCCGUCAUUGAUUGCUUUUCAGGAUCUCUAAAAUCACUUUAAAGGUAUUAAUGAAAUAUGUGUAAAUUCAAUAGGGCCACUAUGUGGCCAUUUAUAAUGCACUUUGUUUUGUCUCGUGUCCCCUAAAUGAUGAGGCGUGUCCCCCGACAUGUAUUAGCGACUGCACAGAACCUAAAUUAAAAUGAUUUUUUUCACUUUUACCACUUCUUUUAAUGCAUUUGAAUGUUUGUUGUUGUUGUUGUUGUUGUUGUUUGUUGUUAAACUCAAAUAUUCCUAGACAGAAUUCAUACCUCAUGAAUACCAUCUACUUAGGAUCACAGUAUACCGUGUGUAUUUAUUGUAGAUAUGAUUCAAACAUCUAAAUGUACAACAAGUGUUUAGUCUUAGUCUCAUUAUGUGCUAAGUAUAUACUAUAAUAAGAGUAGCAACCUUGAUACAAAACCAGAGACUCUGUGAAUGAAGUCAUUGUUUUUACAUGUGGUAACUGUUUUCUUUGACUGAAUGAUGCUUUUAAAUCAAAUAGGAACACCUCUCCAAAGGAACAGCUGGUUAUGAUGUCAUUGCACAUGACGUUGGCUGUAGAUUGGCUUGAUUUAAUAUUGCUGUCAUUGCGUGUUAAAUGUCAUGUUAUUACCUGAUAUCUGAAAGCAGUCUUUUUAAGGUCAGAAGUCUGUACUUACCAUACCUAAACAAUGACCUUGUGUACAUUUAUUAAAUAGCCAUAAUGAAAUGUUGAAAUUUGAGGACAACAAGUGAAUUAUAUAAAUAUAGAGGCGGGUCAGGAAAGAAGAAUAUAAUAAAUAUUGGCUGAUUAAAUCUAUAUAUAUAUAUACUUAAUGUUAUACCAUAUUUCUAUGUACACAUAAUGAUAGUUCUGAUAAUAAAUCAAUUCAGCGCUGUAACUGA
Molecule: non-coding RNA, 3256 nt
Organism: Gasterosteus aculeatus aculeatus (three-spined stickleback)
Lineage: Eukaryota; Metazoa; Chordata; Actinopteri; Perciformes; Gasterosteidae
Source: RefSeq, a predicted model, not a curated record